This 623-nucleotide long non-coding RNA is filed under the name Malus domestica (apple). RNAcentral describes it as "long non-coding RNA (MDOM_LNC002440)". Lineage: Eukaryota; Viridiplantae; Streptophyta; Magnoliopsida; Rosales; Rosaceae. The record is from RNAcentral.
UCCAUAUGCAUUGAAUCUAAAGAGUUAUUUGAUCGAAUAAAAGUUCCACGCUUUGUUCUCGUAGUUUGUUAACGUUAAACCCCCUUAGAAGUUAGACCUAGUUGGCUAACCAUCUCCACUUGGCACAUAUUUUAAAACUCUAGUCUCCACUAACUGCACAGGUUAUGGUACUGCCACGUCUCCUAAUCACAUCCAUGUCGCUAAGGAUGAGCCCUCAUCUUACAAAAUACCCUUCAUUUUUCCUCCUUGUAGAAUUUACAAACACCUGCAAAAAUAUUGGCCAAAAAUAUUUGAGGAAUGAGAGGAUAAGACACUUGUGGAGACCUUGUGCUACAAACACUUCCAUUCAAAUCUAAGUCACCAUACAAAAAUCAUCCAACGGCUCACAUUCACUUAAAAAAGGCUAGGAGGAUAUAUUAUCCUUCUCACUUUGCUUCCCUCAUCUUAUUCACUCCCAACUAUUCCCUUUCAUACCGUUUUCCUGUGGAGAUUCAAACAAGCUUAAAAAUGGCUUCCUUGACAAUGGUCUUUCCCCCAGUGGUGACCGGCUGGGCAACUGGGCAAGUGUACGCUGCAACGGCGGCCAAGGGAGGAAGCAAAGAAGAGAAGGGUCUGCUUGAUUG